This 465-nucleotide ribosomal RNA is filed under the name uncultured bacterium. Its description in RNAcentral is "partial 16S ribosomal RNA". It matches the Rfam family "Bacterial small subunit ribosomal RNA", at positions 339 to 795 of the family's 1533-position model. The record is from RNAcentral.
CUACGGGGUGCAGCAGUGGGGAAUAUUGGACAAUGGGGGAAACCCUGAUCCAGCAAUGCCGCGUGUGUGAAGAAGGCCUGCGGGUUGUAAAGCACUUUCGGUUGGGAGGACUGCUUCUAGCACUAAUAUUGUUGGAAGUUGACGUUACCUUCAGAAGAAGCACCGGCUAACUCCGUGCCAGCAGCCGCGGUAAUACGGAGGGUGCAGGCGUUAAUCGGAAUUACUGGGCGUAAAGCGCGCGUAGGCGGCUAGAUCAGUCGGGUGUGAAAGCCCCGGGCUUAACCUGGGAACUGCAUCCGAUACUGUCUAGCUUGAGUACAGGAGAGGAGAGUGGAGUUCCACAUGUAGCGGUGAAAUGCGUAGAUAUGUGGAGGAACACCAAUGGCGAAGGCAGCUCUCUGGCCUGAUACUGACGCUGAGGUGCGAAAGCGUGGGGAGCAAACAGGAUUAGAUACCCUAGUAGUC